This is a non-coding RNA of Tricladium varicosporioides, 103 nucleotides long. The record is from the annotation of a GenBank genome assembly. NCBI's taxonomy places the organism in Eukaryota, Fungi, Ascomycota, Leotiomycetes, Helotiales, Tricladiaceae.
UCCCCGUUGGUCUAGUGGUCAUGAUUUCCGCUUGUCAUGUGUGACAGGGGUUCCUUUACAUGGCAAAGCGCGGGAGACCGGGGUUCGAUUCCCCGACGAGGAG